AGAGUACGAUUAUGGCUCAGGACGAACGCUGGCGGCGUGCCUAACACAUGCAAGUCGAACGAAGCUUGAUUACGGAUUCUUCGGAUGAAGUAUGAUAUGACUGAGUGGCGGACGGGUGAGUAACGCGUGAGCAACCUGCCUUUCAGAGGGGGAUAGCGUCUGGAAACGGACGGUAAUACCGCAUAACGUAUGAUGAAGACAUCUUCGACAUACCAAAGAUUUAUCGCUGAAAGAUGGGCUCGCGUUGGAUUAGAUAGUUGGUGGGGUAACGGCUCACCAAGUCGACGAUCCAUAGCCGGACUGAGAGGUUGAACGGCCACAUUGGGACUGAGACACGGCCCAG
This 343-nucleotide ribosomal RNA is filed under the name uncultured bacterium. RNAcentral's name for it is "bacterial SSU rRNA". It matches the Rfam family "Bacterial small subunit ribosomal RNA", at positions 8 to 334 of the family's 1533-position model. The record is from RNAcentral.